Cavia aperea (Brazilian guinea pig) is the source of this 115-nucleotide ribosomal RNA. Lineage: Eukaryota; Metazoa; Chordata; Mammalia; Rodentia; Caviidae. The record is from Ensembl.
UCUACGGCCAUACCACCCUGAACGCGCCCGAUCUUGUCUAAUCUUGGAAGCUAAGCAGGGUUGGGCCUGGUUAGUACUUGGAUGGGAGAGUGCAGUAUUCCAAGCCCUGAAAGAA